ACUCAUGCAGAUACCAUGAAAGGCGUUGGUUGCUUAAACAGCAGGACGGUGAUCAUGGAAGUCGAAAUCCGCUAAGGAGUGUGUAACAACUCACCUGCCGAAGCAACUAGCCCUUAAAAUGGAUGGCGCUUAAGUUGUAUACCUAUACAUUACCGCUUAAGUAGAUGAUUUAUAUUACUUGUGAUAUAAAUUUUGAAACUUUAGUGAGUAGGAAGGUACAAUGGUAUGCGUAGAAGUGUUUGGCGUAAGCCUGCAUGGAGCUGCCAUUGGUACAGAUCUUGGUGGUAGUAGCAAAUAAUCGAAUGAGACCUUGGAGGACUGAAGUGGAGAAGGGUUUCGUGUGAACAGUGGUUGAUCACGAGUUAGUCGGUCCUAAGUUCAAGGCGAAAGCCGAAAAUUUUCAAGUAAAACAAAAAUGCCUAACUAUAUAAACAAAGCGAAUAUAAUACACUUGAAUAAUUUUGAACGAAAGGGAAUACGGUUCCAAUUCCGUAACCUGUUGAGUAUCCGUUUGUUAUUAAAUAUGGGCCUCGUGCUCAUCCUGGCAACAGGAACGACCAUAAAGAAGCCGUCGAGAGAUAUCGGAAGAGUUUUCUUUUCUGUUUUAUAGCCGUACUACCAUGGAAGUCUUUCGCAGAGAGAUAUGGUAGAUGGGCUAGAAGAGCAUGACAUAUACUGUUGUGUCGAUAUUUUCUCCUCGGACCUUGAAAAUUUAUGGGUGGGGACACGCAAACUUCUCAACAGGCCGUACCAAAUAUCCGCAGCUGGGUCUCCAAGGUGAAGAGUCUCUAGUCGAUAGAAUAAUGUAGGUAAGGGAAGUCGGCAAAUUAGAUCCGUAACUUCGGGAUAAGGAUUGGCUCUGAAGAUUGAGAUAGUCCGGCUUGAUUGGGAAACAAUAACAUGGUUUAUGUGCUCGUUCUGGGUAAAUAGAGUUUCUAGCAUUUAUGUUAGUUACUUGUUCCCCGGAUAGUUUAGUUACGUAGCCAAUUGUGGAACUUUCUUGCUAAAAUUUUUAAGAAUACUAUUUGGGUUAAACCAAUUAGUUCUUAUCAAUUAUAACGAUUAUCAAUUAACAAUCAAUUCAGAACUGGCACGGACUUGGGGAAUCCGACUGUCUAAUUAAAACAAAGCAUUGUGAUGGCCCUAGCGGGUGUUGACACAAUGUGAUUUCUGCCCAGUGCUCUGAAUGUCAAAGUGAAGAAAUUCAAGUAAGCGCGGGUCAACGGCGGGAGUAACUAUGACUCUCUUAAGGUAGCCAAAUGCCUCGUCAUCUAAUUAGUGACGCGCAUGAAUGGAUUAACGAGAUUCCUACUGUCCCUAUCUACUAUCUAGCGAAACCACAGCCAAGGGAACGGGGCUUGGAAUAAUUAGCGGGGAAAGAAGACCCUUUUGAGCUUGACUCUAAUCUGGCAGUGUAAGGAGACAUAAGAGGUGUAGAAUAAGUGGGAGAUAUUAGACCUCGGUUUGGUAUCGUCAAUGAAAUACCACUACUCUUAUUGUUUCCUUUACUUACUUGAUUAAAUGGAACGUGUAUCAUUUCCUAGCCAUUAUACGGAUAUAUUUAUUAUAUCUUAUGGUAUUGGGUUUUGAUGCAAGCUUCUUGAUCAAAGUAUCACGAGUUUGUUAUAUAAUCGCAAACAAAUUCUUUAAUAAAACGAUGCAUUUAUGUAUUUUUGAUUUGAAAAUUUGGUAUAACUCCAAUUACUCAGGUAUGAUCCAAUUCAAGGACAUUGCCAGGUAGGGAGUUUGACUGGGGCGGUACAUCUCUCAAAUAAUAACGGAGGUGUCCCAAGGCCAGCUCAGUGCGGACAGAAACCACACAUAGAGCAAAAGGGCAAAUGCUGACUUGAUCUCGGUGUUCAGUACACACAGGGACAGCAAAAGCUCGGCCUAUCGAUCCUUUUGGUUUAAAGAGUUUUUAACAAGAGGUGUCAGAAAAGUUACCAUAGGGAUAACUGGCUUGUGGCGGCCAAGCGUUCAUAGCGACGUCGCUUUUUGAUCCUUCGAUGUCGGCUCUUCCUAUCAUUGUGAAGCAAAAUUCACCAAGCGUUGGAUUGUUCACCCAUGCAAGGGAACGUGAGCUGGGUUUAGACCGUCGUGAGACAGGUUAGUUUUACCCUACUAAUGACAAAACGUUGUUGCGACAGCAUCCUGCGUAGUACGA
Molecule: ribosomal RNA, 2164 nt
Filed under: Drosophila sechellia
Lineage: Eukaryota; Metazoa; Arthropoda; Insecta; Diptera; Drosophilidae
Description: eukaryotic LSU rRNA
Rfam family: Eukaryotic large subunit ribosomal RNA
Source: RNAcentral